AGUAUCGGGUAAUUGCGCGUCAUAUUUCUGACGUGAGGAAGGUCCAUGCUCGCACACUCUGAGAUGGGUGUAGUGUUUGUGCCGGGAUAAAGAAUAAACCCGGGGGCAGUGAUGCCACGGCGAUCGAAAAGGCUAAGGCUUCUAGCUAUGUCUGAAUAGAUACGAAGGUGCCAUAGAAACGUAUAUGUCAGUGAAAAUUGGCAUUUGAGACGAGGUAAACCCCACAAGCGGGCAACCCAAACUUUUGGUAGGGGCGGCUGAUCUAGUAAAAUGAAACGAUGAUCGGUAUGGUUUAAGCAAUUGAACUUAGAUAGAUGAUUACCGAAGGUGAUAUGUACCUGCAUAUCACUGGAACAAAACAUGGCCUACAGAU
Non-coding RNA from Leuconostoc pseudomesenteroides PS12, 373 nucleotides. The record is from Rfam. NCBI's taxonomy places the organism in Bacteria, Bacillati, Bacillota, Bacilli, Lactobacillales, Lactobacillaceae.